GUUCGAUGAUCAACUUAAAAAUUAUACAAAUGAACAAUUUUCUAGUUUAGAUAGCGUAAAAAAAAAAUCUAAUUUAGAUUAAAUUGGUGGUCUUUCUAAAAUAUUGAUAGAAACUAGAUAGCAUAUUGUUUUUAUCUAAUGUUGUAUUUAUAUCCAACACUUUUAAAAUAUAAAGUUACUCACAAAUAUUAUAUUUCUUAGGUGCUAAGGUGUCUUCAAUUUUCAAAUAUAUAGUACUAUAAAUUUUAUAAUUUUC
RNAcentral lists this long non-coding RNA (256 nucleotides) under Medicago truncatula (barrel medic). RNAcentral's name for it is "lncRNA gene23265". The record is from RNAcentral. Lineage: Eukaryota; Viridiplantae; Streptophyta; Magnoliopsida; Fabales; Fabaceae.